This is a non-coding RNA of Cinara cedri, 149 nucleotides long. The record is from the annotation of a GenBank genome assembly. NCBI's taxonomy places the organism in Eukaryota, Metazoa, Arthropoda, Insecta, Hemiptera, Aphididae.
AAUACAUAGGAGGUGUGACUAUUAAAUAACGAGACUGCUCGCCUAGAGAGCGCCCUAGACGGGUAGUGAAAAAAACGAGUAAUAACUUUUAUAAUAAAACACUUUUUCGUAACCAGUCUCGUUAUUUAAUAGCCAUACCUCGUAGUAUG